RNAcentral lists this ribosomal RNA (254 nucleotides) under uncultured bacterium. RNAcentral's name for it is "partial 16S ribosomal RNA". It matches the Rfam family "Bacterial small subunit ribosomal RNA", at positions 524 to 776 of the family's 1533-position model. The record is from RNAcentral.
UACGUAGGGGGCAAGCGUUGUCCGGAUUUAUUGGGCGUAAAGAGCUCGUAGGUGGUUCGGUAAGUCGGAUGUGAAAUCUCCAGGCUCAACCUGGAGGGGUCAUUCGAUACUGCCGUGACUAGAGGUCGGUAGGGGAGUGUGGAAUUCCUAGUGGAGCGGUGAAAUGCGCAGAUAUCAGGAGGAACACCGGUGGCGAAGGCGGUUCUCUGGGCCUUACCUGACGCUGAGGAGCGAAAGCGUGGGGAGCAAACAGG